RNAcentral lists this ribosomal RNA (460 nucleotides) under uncultured bacterium. Its description in RNAcentral is "partial 16S ribosomal RNA". It matches the Rfam family "Bacterial small subunit ribosomal RNA", at positions 338 to 795 of the family's 1533-position model. The record is from RNAcentral.
CCUACGGGUGGCAGCAGUGAGGAAUAUUGGUCAAUGGACGAGAGUCUGAACCAGCCAAGUAGCGUGAAGGAUGACUGCCCUAUGGGUUGUAAACUUCUUUUAUAUGGGAAUAAAACGUUCCACGUGUGGGAUUUUGUAUGUACCAUAUGAAUAAGGAUCGGCUAACUCCGUGCCAGCAGCCGCGGUGAUACGGAGGAUCCGAGCGUUAUCCGGAUUUAUUGGGUUUAAAGGGAGCGUAGGUGGAUUGUUAAGUCAGUUGUGAAAGUUUGCGGCUCAACCGUAAAAUUGCAGUUGAAACUGGCAGUCUUGAGUACAGUAGAGGUGGGCGGAAUUCGUGGUGUAGCGGUGAAAUGCUUAGAUAUCACGAAGAACUCCGAUUGCGAAGGCAGUUCACUGGACUGCAACUGACACUGAGGCUCGAAAGUGUGGGUAUCAAACAGGAUUAGAUACCCCAGUAGUC